GUUGAUUUGACACAUUUACAUAUUGCAAUAUGCUUACCACCCUAGCAUUAGCGCACAUUUCCAUCAUAUCAUAUAAUGAUCAUUUCUUCUUUUGUGGUGGGAAGAAUUAAGAUCUAGUCUCUUAGGAACUUGGAAGUUUACAAUGGAGUAUUGUUGUCUAUAAUCACUGUGCAGGGCAUUCGAUUUUUAGAACUUGUCUGGUCAGGGUUGGUAUAUGAAACAUCUUCACGUGUCUUCCUCUACGUAAUCAUCUGGGAAUCUGCUAAGCAGGCCUCUCCAAGAGGCUUCUCCCCAUGGUCUCUUGGAGCUUCUUCUCCACAUGGUGGCUGAAUGCAAGGGUGAACAUCCUGAGAGGCAGCCAGAAGGAACUAUGUCACCAUGUAUGACCCAACCUCAGAAGGCACACUGCAUCCAUUCCACUAUUUCCUAUUGGUUGAGGAGUCACAAGUCCCACCUAUGUUCAAAUAAAGGGGAAAGAGAUUCUAUCUCCAGAUGGGAAGUGGCAAGGUUCUAGAGGAGAAUGUAAGAACAGAAAUAUUGCUGUGCCAUUUUGGGAAAAUACAAUCUGUCAGAGGAUUGUUUUGUGUUUUUUGUUUUUAUGUGAACUAUACACUGCAAUACAUGGAGGGAAGAGAAAGAAGGCUCCAGGCGUAGAGAUCCAGGAAUUAAGCACUGAGAAGAAGCCAGCCCCUGAUAAUUUCUACUAAGGCAUCUCAGAAAAAAAUUUGUAAAUAUUCCUGAGAAUAAGUAUAUGCAAAAAAUGUAUUUAAAUGUGCUAAUCUAGUGUGUUGGUGCCAUAAAGUUAAUUUUGACUCCUAGUGGCCCUAUAUACAGCAAAGCAUAACCUUGCCCGGUCUUUCGCCACCACCCUCUCACCUUCUGGAG
Molecule: long non-coding RNA, 885 nt
Filed under: Equus caballus (horse)
Lineage: Eukaryota; Metazoa; Chordata; Mammalia; Perissodactyla; Equidae
Description: lncRNA (ENSECAG00000033746.3)
Source: RNAcentral